This 331-nucleotide small RNA is filed under the name uncultured Entrophospora. RNAcentral describes it as "bacterial SSU rRNA". It matches the Rfam family "Eukaryotic small subunit ribosomal RNA", at positions 569 to 902 of the family's 1831-position model. Lineage: Eukaryota; Fungi; Glomeromycota; Glomeromycetes; Entrophosporales; Entrophosporaceae. The record is from RNAcentral.
AGCAGCCGCGGUAAUUCCAGCUCCAAUAGCGUAUAUUAAAGUUGUUGCAGUUAAAAAGCUCGUAGUUGAAUUUCGGGACCAAUAUGUUGGUCGUGCCUCGGUACGCACUGGCAUUAUUGGCUUCUCCCUUCUGACGAACUACGAUGCCAUUAAUUUGGUGUCGUAGGGAAUCAGGACUGUUACUUUGAAAAAAUUUAGAGUAGUUUAAAGCAGGCUCGCGCUUGAAUACAUUAGCAUGGAAUAAUGAAAUAGGACGUUUGAUUCUAUUUUGUUGGUUCCUAGGAUCGACGUAAUGAUUAAUAGGGAUAGUUGGGGGCAUUAGGUAUUCAAU